ACGAACGCUGGCGGCACGCUUAACACAUGCAAGUCGAACGGAGAAUUUUGGUUUACUAAGGAUCUUAGUGGCGGACGGGUGAGUAACACGUGAGUAACCUGCCUCUGAGAGAGGGAUAGCUUCUGGAAACGGAUGGUAAUACCUCAUAACAUAACUGAAAGGCAUCUUUUAGUUAUCAAAGAUUUAUCGCUCAGAGAUGGACUCGCGUCUGAUUAGGUAGUUGGUGAGGUAACGGCUCACCAAGCCGACGAUCAGUAGCCGGACUGAGAGGUUGAACGGCCACAUUGGGACUGAGACACGGCCCAGACUCCUACGGGAGGCAGCAGUGGGGAAUAUUGCACAAUGGGGGGAACCCUGAAUGCAGCGAUGCCGCGUGGAGGAAGAAGGUUUUCGGAUUGUAAACUCCUGUCUUAAAGGACGAUAAUGACGGUACUUUAGGAGGAAGCUCCGGCUAACUACGUGCCAGCCGCAGC
Molecule: ribosomal RNA, 473 nt
Filed under: uncultured bacterium
Lineage: Bacteria
Description: bacterial SSU rRNA
Rfam family: Bacterial small subunit ribosomal RNA
Source: RNAcentral